UACGGAGGGGGCUAGCGUUGUUCGGAAUUACUGGGCGUAAAGCGUACGUAGGCGGCUUUGUAAGUUAGAGGUGAAAGCCCGGGGCUCAACUCCGGAAUUGCCUUUAAGACUGCAUCGCUUGAAUCAUGGAGAGGUGAGUGGAAUUCCGAGUGUAGAGGUGAAAUUCGUAGAUAUUCGGAAGAACACCAGUGGCGAAGGCGACUCUUUGGUCUGUAACUGACGCUGAGGCGCGAAAGCGUGGGGAGCAAACAGG
RNAcentral lists this ribosomal RNA (253 nucleotides) under uncultured bacterium. RNAcentral's name for it is "partial 16S ribosomal RNA". It matches the Rfam family "Bacterial small subunit ribosomal RNA", at positions 524 to 776 of the family's 1533-position model. The record is from RNAcentral.